AUAACGGUCCUAAGGUAGCGAAAUUCCUUGUCGGGUAAGUUCCGACCCGCACGAAAGGCGUAACGAUUUGGGCACUGUCUCAACGAGAGACUCGGUGAAAUCAUAGUACCUGUGAAGAUGCAGGUUACCCGCGACAGGACGGAAAGACCCCGUGGAGCUUUACUGUAGCCUGAUAUUGAAAUUCGGCACAGCUUGUACAGGAUAGGUAGGAGCCUUUGAAACGUGAGCGCUAGCUUACGUGGAGGCGCUGGUGGGAUACUACCCUAGCUGUGUUGGCUUUCUAACCCGCACCACUUAUCGUGGUGGGAGACAGUGUCAGGCGGGCAGUUUGACUGGGGCGGUCGCCU
This 347-nucleotide ribosomal RNA is filed under the name Staphylococcus aureus. RNAcentral's name for it is "partial 23S ribosomal RNA". It matches the Rfam family "Bacterial large subunit ribosomal RNA", at positions 1942 to 2288 of the family's 2925-position model. Lineage: Bacteria; Bacillati; Bacillota; Bacilli; Caryophanales; Staphylococcaceae. The record is from RNAcentral.